UCCGAUAUGGUCUAGUAACAGGAUACCUGGCUUUCAUCCAGGAGGCUCUGGUUCGCUUCCCGAUAUCGGAA
RNAcentral lists this transfer RNA (71 nucleotides) under Bombyx mori (domestic silkworm). It matches the Rfam family "tRNA". From Rfam's summary of the family: Transfer RNA (tRNA) molecules are approximately 80 nucleotides in length. Their secondary structure includes four short double-helical elements and three loops (D, anti-codon, and T loops). The record is from Rfam by way of RNAcentral. Lineage: Eukaryota; Metazoa; Arthropoda; Insecta; Lepidoptera; Bombycidae.